This 459-nucleotide ribosomal RNA is filed under the name uncultured bacterium. RNAcentral's name for it is "partial 16S ribosomal RNA". It matches the Rfam family "Bacterial small subunit ribosomal RNA", at positions 338 to 795 of the family's 1533-position model. The record is from RNAcentral.
CCUACGGGAGGCAGCAGUGAGGAAUAUUGGUCAAUGGACGCAAGUCUGAACCAGCCAUGCCGCGUGCAGGAUGACGGCUCUAUGAGUUGUAAACUGCUUUUGUACGAGGGUAAACCCCGAUACGUGUAUCGGGUUGAAAGUAUCGUACGAAUAAGGAUCGGCUAACACCGUGCCAGCAGCCGCGGUAAUACGGAGGAUGCGAGCGUUAUCCGGAUUUAUUGGGUUUAAGGGGUGCGUAGGCGGAUUAUCAAGUCAGCGGUAAAAUCGUGGAGCUCAACUCCAUCCAGCCGUUGAAACUGAUGAUCUUGAGUGGGCGAGAAGUAUGCGGAAUGCGUGGUGUAGCGGUGAAAUGCAUAGAUAUCACGCAGAACUCCGAUUGCGAAGGCAGCAUACCGGCGCCCGACUGACGCUGAAGCACGAAAGCGUGGGUAUCGAACAGGAUUAGAUACCCGGGUAGUC